This 2858-nucleotide long non-coding RNA is filed under the name Salmo salar (Atlantic salmon). Its description in RNAcentral is "lncRNA (ENSSSAG00000107803.1)". The record is from RNAcentral. Lineage: Eukaryota; Metazoa; Chordata; Actinopteri; Salmoniformes; Salmonidae.
CUACCAAAACACAUGCAUAAAAUAUAAGUAGAACUAUUUUGCAAACCUGAUACGGAAAUCCAACUCUCCUGCCUUUUUAAACUGUUAGCCUAAUGAUGACUGUAUUAGGCUUACAAUAAAAUGUGUGUCGCAUAUAUGCUAUUAACCGUGCACUCUGUCUGUAUCCGCUCUUUGAGGGAGAGUGCGCUGGUAAAAGGGAGGGAGGGAAUGAGGCAAACAAGAAACAUGUAAUCACCCAAACAACCGUUUUAGUCCUUUCCCCCUGGAUUUGUGUCGUAAGAUAGCCUACAGUAUCUACUUCAAAGGAUACACAGGGGGCCGCGAGACUGUUACAAUGGGACUUGAAGUUUCAGAUGAUGUCCAGUACAGCACGGCUGCUCCAGCCAAUAAACAAGGACAAUGACCCAACACACCUCCAUGCUGUGUAAGGGCUAUUUGACCAAAAAGAAGAGUGAUGGAGUGCUGCAUCAGAUGACCUGACCUCAACAAUCAGCCGAACUCAACUUAGUUGAGAUGGUUUGGGAUGAGUUGGACCGCAGAGUGAAGGAAAAGCAGCCAACAAGUGUUCAGCAUAUGUGGGAACUCCUUCAAGACUGCUAGUAAAGCAUUCCAGGUGAAGCUGGUUGAGAGAAUGCCAAGAGUGUGCUAAGCUGUCAUCAAGGCAAAUGGUGGCUACUUUGAAGAAUCUAAAAGCUAAAAUAUAUUUUUUAUUUGUUAAACACUUUUUUUUGCAUACUAUACGUGUUAUUUCAUAGUUUGGAUGUCUUCACUAUUAUUCUACAAUGUAAAUAAAGAAAAUCCCUUGAUUGAUUAGGUGUGUCCAAACUUUUGACUGGUACUGUAAGUAUUCAGACCUUCCCUAAGACUCGAAAUUGAUCUCAGGUGCAUCCUGUUUCCAUUGAUCAUCCUUGAGAUGUUUCUACAACUUUAUUAGAGUCCACAUGUAGUAAAUUCUUGAUUGAACAUGAUUUGGAAAGGCACACACCUAUAAGGUCCAACAGAGGACAGUACAUGUCAGAGCAAAAACCAAGCCAUGAGGUCGAAGGAAUUGUCCGUAGAGCUCCGAGACAGGAUUGUGUAGAGGCACAGGUCUGGGGAAGGGUACAACAACAUUUUCGCAGCAUUGAAGGUCCCAAAGAUCACAGUGGCGUCCAUCAUUCUUAAAUGGAAGAAGUUUGGAACCACCAAAACUCUUCCUAGAGCUGGCCGCCUGGUCAAACUGAGCAAUCCUCCCUGGCGAUGGUCACUCUGACAAAACUCCAGAGUUCCUCUGUGGAGAUGAGAGAAUCUACCAGAAGGACAACCAUCUCUGCAGCACUCCACCAAUCAGAUCUUUAUGGUUGAGUGGCCAGACUUAAGCCACUCUUCAGUAAGAGAAACAUGACAGCCCGCUUGGAGUUUGCCAAAAGGCUCUUAAAGACUCUCAGACCAUGACAAACAAGAUUCCCUGCUGUUGAAAUAAAAAUGUAACUCUUUGGCCUGAAUGCCAAGCGCACCGUCUAGUGGAAACCUGGCACCAUCCCUACGGUGAAGCAUGGUGGUGGAAGCAUCAUGCUGUGGGGAUGUUUUUCAGCGUCAGGGACUGGGAGACUAGUCAGGAUCGAGGGAAAGCUGAACGGAGCAAAGUACAGAGAUAUCCAUAAUGAAAACCUGCUCCAGAGCACUCAGGACCUCAGACUGUGGUGAAGGUUCACCUUCCAACAGGAGUGUCAUCGGGUCAAGUCUCUGAAUGUCCUUGAGUGGCCCAGCCAGAGACCGGACUUGAACCCGGUCAAACAUCUCUGGAGACACCUGAAAAUAGCUGUGCAGCGACACUCCCUAUCCAACGUGACAGAGCUUGAGGGUCUGCAGAGAAGAAUUUGAGAAAUUCCCCAAAUUCAUGUGUGCCAAGCUUGUCGCGUCAUACCCAAGAAGACUCAGACUGCUGUAAUCACUGCCAAAGUACUGAGUAAACGGUCUGAAUAAUUAUGUAAAUAAGAUAUUUCAGUUUAAACAUUUUUAUAUUUUUUUUGCAAAAAAUGUUUAAAAAAAAAUGAUUUUGCUUUGUCAUUAUUGGGUAUUGUGUGUAGAUUGAUGCAGGAAAAAAAACUAUUGAAUCAAUUUUAGAAUAAGGCUGUAACGUAAUACAAUGUGGAAAAAGUGAAGGGGUCUGAAUAUUUUCAAAAUGUACUGUUUGUAGCCCUUUCCUGCAGUCAAUUACCAAAAGUGCCCUCUUUGGCCUCAGGGUGGAAUGUUAAUAAUUUUUUCAUAAUUUCAUAAUUAAUAAAGAAUGUAAAAUAGAAAACUGACAGAAAUCUGGUGUUUCUAUGUCAAAUAGUUGUGUUAUAUUUCAAUGUCCUGUGAUGUAUUGUAUAUAAAGUGUAAUAUUGGGUUUCAAAUUCAAUACAUUCCAACUCUAUAUCUGACAUGGUACAGUUGUCUUAUUUAAGCCCAUAACCAUGUUUUGUUUCAAAGUAGAUUUGUUAAAAACUACCAAGAAUCACUCUGUUUUACCUGAUUUAGCCCAUUUGUCACGUCCUGACCAGUAUAAGGGUUAAUUGUUAUUGUAGUUUGGUCAGGACGUGGCAGAGGGAAUUUGUUUUAUGUGGUUCGGGGUGGUGUUUUAUUUAGUGGGGCAUUUGAUUUGUGUAUUCCGGGGUUUUUGGGCACUGUUUUUGUAUUCAUGUAUUUCUAUGUUUGGUCUGGUGAGUCUGGUUCUAUGUUUGGUUAAUUGGGGUGGGGACUCUCAAUUGAAGGCAGGUGUUGUCUAUUUGCCUUUGAUUGAGAGUCCUAUAUAUUACGGGGUGUUUGUAAUUUGUGGGAGAUUGUUUCUUGUUUAGCGUGAGUAAGCCUUACAAGACUGUUGUGUUGAUCGUGAG